Leopardus geoffroyi (Geoffroy's cat) is the source of this 153-nucleotide long non-coding RNA. RefSeq lists it as uncharacterized. The record is from RefSeq and is a predicted model, not a curated record. The transcript is spliced from 2 exons. NCBI's taxonomy places the organism in Eukaryota, Metazoa, Chordata, Mammalia, Carnivora, Felidae.
ACGAUACACAAAAAUAAACUCAAAAUGGAUUAAAGACCUAAAUUAAGACAGGAAGGCAUCAAAAUCCUAGAAGAGAAAGCAGGCCAAAACCUCUUCGACCUUGGCCGCAGCAUCUUCUCACUCAACACAUCUCCAUAAGCAAGGGAAACAAAA